RNAcentral lists this signal recognition particle RNA (122 nucleotides) under Actinomycetota bacterium. Its description in RNAcentral is "partial signal recognition particle sRNA large type". It matches the Rfam family "Bacterial large signal recognition particle RNA", at positions 1 to 119 of the family's 256-position model. From Rfam's summary of the family: The signal recognition particle (SRP) is a universally conserved ribonucleoprotein involved in the co-translational targeting of proteins to membranes. Archaeal SRP consists of a 7S RNA and homologues of the eukaryotic SRP19 and SRP54 proteins. Lineage: Bacteria; Bacillati; Actinomycetota. The record is from RNAcentral.
CCGUGCUAGGCGGGGAGUUAGCGGCGCCCUGAAUCCGCAAUCCGCUCUAGCGGGGCUGAAUUCCCCCCCGAGGGGCGCAGGCCCUGGGUCAGCGCUACGCCAGGAGGCGAUGAUGGCUCGGU